RNAcentral lists this ribosomal RNA (253 nucleotides) under uncultured bacterium. Its description in RNAcentral is "partial 16S ribosomal RNA". It matches the Rfam family "Bacterial small subunit ribosomal RNA", at positions 524 to 776 of the family's 1533-position model. The record is from RNAcentral.
UACGUAGGGGGCAAGCGUUGUCCGGAUUUAUUGGGCGUAAAGAGCGUGUAGGCGGCCUGACAGGUCUGCUGUGAAAACUCGAGGCUCAACCUCGAGAUGUCGGCGGAAACCGUCUGGCUAGCGUCCGGAAGAGGAGAGUGGAAUUCCUGGUGUAGCGGUGAAAUGCGCAGAUAUCAGGAAGAACACCUAUGGCGAAGGCAGCUCUCUGGGACGGUACUGACGCUGAGACGCGAAAGCGUGGGGAGCGAACAGG